RNAcentral lists this long non-coding RNA (540 nucleotides) under Papio anubis (olive baboon). RNAcentral describes it as "lncRNA (ENSPANG00000044334.1)". Lineage: Eukaryota; Metazoa; Chordata; Mammalia; Primates; Cercopithecidae. The record is from RNAcentral.
AGGGGCAGCUGAACCAGAAUCACCAAAUUACAGAGUUCUAGACACCCAGUGAAUGCUUCAGGUUCCAGGGAUUUCACCAAUAGCAAUGAAAGUCUUCUUCUGUUAAUUUUGACUGUUGCUCAGCAUUUGUCCAGAAGCUUUAAAAAAAAAAGCAGGCUUACUUUCAGUGCCAUCUAUCACAGCUGCAGAAUUAUAUAAUGACACGUCAAAAUAAUGACUCUGAAGCCUUCCAAAUCUUCCAAGAAAGAAGGUCCUAGUCAGGAUAUCACGUCUCAUUUAUUUGUGAUGUCUUUAUGGUUUCCUCUGAUCUGUGACAUCAGAUACAACAGACACUUCUGAAGAGUCCAGUGCCCCACCUGGAUGGACCUGGUCAUACCUCUACCUCAAGGCUAAUGCUGAAGUUGUUUGAUUUGGCUGUUAAAGAUUGAGUAGAAUUUUAAAAGAUGGAACGUAGAAGUAGAAGAAUUAAUUCCAGAAAUUGAAAGUAGCAAAACAAAGGUGCAAACUCAUAAAAAAAAAGAUCAAGGCAAAUUUUGGCAU